RNAcentral lists this ribosomal RNA (674 nucleotides) under Scrippsiella cf. acuminata. Its description in RNAcentral is "LSU rRNA". It matches the Rfam family "Eukaryotic large subunit ribosomal RNA", at positions 1 to 662 of the family's 3401-position model. The record is from RNAcentral. Lineage: Eukaryota; Dinophyceae; Peridiniales; Peridiniaceae.
GAAGACAUGAAGUUAGGUCAGCAAACCCGCUGAAUUUAAGCAUAUAAGUAAGCGGAGGAAAAGAAACUAAAUAGGAUUCCCUCAGUAAUGGCGAAUGAACAGGGAUGAGCUCAGUAUGGAAAUUGGGGCCUGUGGCCUUGAAUUGUAGUCUGGAGAUGUACCACCAACUGGGGCGCAGAUGUAAGCCUCUUGGAAAAGAGCAUCAAUGAGGGUGAGAGUCCCGCUUGGCAUCUGCAGUCCCCAGUGCACGGUGUACCUUCUAAGAGUCACGUUCCUCGGGAUUGGAGCGCAAAUCGGGUGGUAAGUUUCAUCUAAAGCUAAAUAUAGUUUCGAGACCGAUAGCAAACAAGUACCAUGAGGGAAAGGUGAAAAGGACUUUGAAAAGAGAGUUAAAAGUGCCUGAAAUUGCUGAAAGGGAAGCGAAUGGAACCAGCGUAACUUGGCGAGAUUGCUGCGUGUCAAUGUGAUUGCUUGCUGCUUCAACGUAAGUGUUGUAGUAAGUCUUGAACAGGACAUGCGCGGUGCUUCUUGCCUUGUGUGUCACCGUCAGUUCGCAACUGGGGAAAACUUCAGGGACAUGGUAGCCUGUCUCCGGGUGGGUGAACGUGUUUGCUGGAACUCAUUUGCGGAUUGCUUGGUGACUAAAUGGUUCCAUCUGACCCGUCUUGAAACAC